Molecule: small nuclear RNA, 106 nt
Organism: Erinaceus europaeus (western European hedgehog)
Lineage: Eukaryota; Metazoa; Chordata; Mammalia; Eulipotyphla; Erinaceidae
Source: Ensembl
GUGCUCACUUUGGAAUACAUACACUAAAAUUGGAAUAAUACAGAGAAAAUCAGCAUGGCCUCUGUGUGAGAAUGACAUGCCAAAGUGUGAAACAUUCCACAUUAAA